RNAcentral lists this ribosomal RNA (773 nucleotides) under uncultured Neocallimastigales. RNAcentral describes it as "partial large subunit ribosomal RNA". It matches the Rfam family "Eukaryotic large subunit ribosomal RNA", at positions 24 to 645 of the family's 3401-position model. The record is from RNAcentral. Lineage: Eukaryota; Fungi; Neocallimastigomycota; Neocallimastigomycetes; Neocallimastigales.
UAUGUGAUCGUCUCUCGCAUAUCAAUAAGCGGAGGAAAAGAAACUAACAAGGAUUCCCCUAGUAACGGCGAGUGAAGCGGAAAGAGCUCAAAUUUGAAAUCUUAAAGGGUUUCCCUUUACGAAUUGUAGUUUAAAGAAGUGUUUUCUGUUGAGGUUUUGGUAAAAGUUCUUUGGAAUAGGACAUCAUAGAGGGUGAGAAUCCCGUAUUUGACCUUUACUUUCAACUUUGUGAUACACUUUCAAAGAGUCGGAUUGUUUGGGAAUGCAGUCCAAAAUGGGUGGUAAAUUUCAUCUAAAGCUAAAUAUUGGCGAGAGACCGAUAGCGAACAAGUACCGUGAGGGAAAGAUGAAAAGAACUUUGAAAAGAGAGUUAAACAGUACGUGAAAUUGUCAAAAGGGAAGCGUUUGACACCAGUGUUGUUUUCUGAAAAUCAAUUAAAGAACUGUUUAUGCUAAGUUGUUUAGACUUUAUCAGCUAACUGUUUAGUUUUGAGCUUUUCUUUAAUGCACUUUUCAGUUAACAAGUCAACAUCAAUUUCUUUUGCUGUAAAAAAGCUUGAGGAAGGUGGCUUGAGAUUCGUCUUAAGUGUUUAUAGCCUCUUGCCUAUGCAGUCGGAGAGAUUGAGGUCUGCAGCGUAGAUCCUUCGGGGCUAAAUGCAUUUGUGCUAAGUUAUAGCAUUUUAUAGACAACUUGUUGACUAUGAUUUGUCUUGUAGCUUACUCGCUUAUGUUAUUUUACCUACGCUUAGGAUGUUGAAGUCAUCGUAUCGCGC